Molecule: ribosomal RNA, 395 nt
Filed under: Bacillus cereus
Lineage: Bacteria; Bacillati; Bacillota; Bacilli; Caryophanales; Bacillaceae
Description: bacterial SSU rRNA
Rfam family: Bacterial small subunit ribosomal RNA
Source: RNAcentral
CCCUAGAGAUAGGGCUUCUCCUUCGGGAGCAGAGUGACAGGUGGUGCAUGGUUGUCGUCAGCUCGUGUCGUGAGAUGUUGGGUUAAGUCCCGCAACGAGCGCAACCCUUGAUCUUAGUUGCCAUCAUUAAGUUGGGCACUCUAAGGUGACUGCCGGUGACAAACCGGAGGAAGGUGGGGAUGACGUCAAAUCAUCAUGCCCCUUAUGACCUGGGCUACACACGUGCUACAAUGGACGGUACAAAGAGCUGCAAGACCGCGAGGUGGAGCUAAUCUCAUAAAACCGUUCUCAGUUCGGAUUGUAGGCUGCAACUCGCCUACAUGAAGCUGGAAUCGCUAGUAAUCGCGGAUCAGCAUGCCGCGGUGAAUACGUUCCCGGGCCCUUUUGUUAACCAA